This 200-nucleotide ribosomal RNA is filed under the name uncultured bacterium. RNAcentral's name for it is "partial 16S ribosomal RNA". It matches the Rfam family "Bacterial small subunit ribosomal RNA", at positions 29 to 231 of the family's 1533-position model. The record is from RNAcentral.
AACGAACGCUGGCGGCGUGGAUAAGACAUGCAAGUCGAACGGGGCAAUUUUGUAGCAAUACAGGGUUGUUCAGUGGCGAACGGGUGCGUAACACGUGGGUAAUAUGCCGGGAAGCAAGGAAUAGCCCAGGGAAACUUGGAUUAAUACCUUAUGUGGUCGCAAGACUAAAGGCGGGGCAACCUGUCACUUCCUGAUUAGCC